Molecule: unclassified non-coding RNA, 145 nt
Filed under: uncultured Leotiaceae
Lineage: Eukaryota; Fungi; Ascomycota; Leotiomycetes; Helotiales
Description: sequence contains ITS2
Source: RNAcentral
UAACCCAUCCCGUUCGCGGGGUCUUGGGCACCGCCUCUGGGCGGGCCUCAAAAUCAGUGGCGGUACGGCCGGGCUCUGAGCGUAGUAAAUCUUCUCGCUACAGGGUCCCGGGCGGCACUGGCCAGCAACCCCCAAAUCUUUCACA